UCUUAAGGUGGAUCUAUUGCUAUUCAUAGGACUGGGAACAUGGUCACAUGGAGAAAACUGAGGACCAGCGAAGUGGCCUGCAGAAGUAACAAACUCCUUAACAAGUGCUAUGGCACCAGCUCAUCAGAAUGGACACUGGCUUUAAUGGUAUUCACUGAGUCCUAAAGGCCCUCUUCUCCUUAUUUCCUGAAUAUUGGGAAGAUCCAAAGGUUUCUGCAACAAAGGGGACAACCAAGUAAAUGA
Molecule: long non-coding RNA, 243 nt
Filed under: Pan troglodytes (chimpanzee)
Lineage: Eukaryota; Metazoa; Chordata; Mammalia; Primates; Hominidae
Description: long non-coding RNA NONPTRT017440
Source: RNAcentral